AAGGAGGGACUACAGUAUAUCACUUCCUAUGCUGGAGUAAUUGCAAGUGAACCACAGACCAUAUGACAUGAGGAAAUUGCAGAGAGAAAAAAUGAAGAUGCUCAGCUCCCAGUGCCCUGAGGAAGAGAAGCUGUCUGUGUGUGAAGGCCCCACAGCUGACAGGAAGAGUCACCAGAUUGUUAUUCAGCCGCAGGAUGUCCUGGCCUCCUAAGACCUUGCCCCUGUCCCCACAGCUUGCCGCCAAGGAGCCUUUAACUGCCAAGGACACAGAGACAGUAAUUCUCUAAUCUGGUCUUCCACAGAAUGUAGCAGAGUAUUGAAUGAGGCAUUCUCUCUACAUUUCACCACAGGAGCCACAAUAGCUAUGGAGUAAGUAAUAAAGCCAACAUGUGUUGAGCACUUAUGCUAUGCCAGGCAGUGUUUUACCUGCGAAAUGACUCAUAAAAUUAACUCGCUGCAUCCUUUCUACAUUCCUGUGAGGUAGAUUUUAUUAUCAUCCUCAUUGUAUACUUGAGACAGUGAAGCACAGAGAGGUUA
This 537-nucleotide long non-coding RNA is filed under the name Equus caballus (horse). Its description in RNAcentral is "lncRNA (ENSECAG00000052527.1)". Lineage: Eukaryota; Metazoa; Chordata; Mammalia; Perissodactyla; Equidae. The record is from RNAcentral.